This 4377-nucleotide long non-coding RNA is filed under the name Sus scrofa (pig). RNAcentral describes it as "lncRNA (ENSSSCG00000054550.1)". The record is from RNAcentral. Lineage: Eukaryota; Metazoa; Chordata; Mammalia; Artiodactyla; Suidae.
GGUUACUCAAAUGCAUGUGCUUGUUUUGUUCUUUACCUACAACGUGUCGUUUAAAAAAGAAAAAUACUUACCUGUAUUUAAACAGUAAGCAAAGGUUGAUGCUAGUGACUGGAAAUGUCUAAAUGUGCUUCAUUAUAACCACAUACACAGCCUAGGAGUAUAUCAUUACUGAAACUAAGAACACUGAAGAAUAAAGAUUUUCAAGGAAUGCAAAUUUCAUUUCUCCAUCUGCCACAUUCACAGGAGGAAAUGGAAUAAGAGUGCAUUAACGUUUCAAGCUCAGGUUCAAGACAGUACUUUGAAAAAAGGAAUAACAGCAAGUAGUAAAUUCAAGACAAUUAGAGCAUCCAUUAUUUUACAAUCUCUGAAAACAAUCAGUUGGGUCAGAUUUUUUAAGAUUAUUUAAAGAAACAGACAACAAAUCAAAUGAUGGUGCUUCCGUAAUCAAAUAAUAAGAUCAGCAAAGCAAAAACACAGGAUAGAUACGCCUACCACCACAAACCUCGAAGAAGGGCGUCAACGUUUCUCCCUAGCUCUACUCAAGCCUGGUCAUUCUGGAAUAACAUGUUUCUGCCAUCUGCCCAUUUGUGAGUGACUUGUAGAAACUGACAUCUAAAAUAACUUGAUGGGCGUAAUUAAACCUUACCAGUCUUGGCUGCUUUCUCAAAUAUCAUAAUAAAAGGGUGAAAUUAUAUACUAGACAUAGUUGUUUUCCAAAGUGGGAAACAUAAAAAUUUAGGGAGACAAAGUAUAAUGUUAUGAGAACAGUGUUUUUACUGAGUAAGCCAAUGAAUGUGGUGUUGCUAAGACAUUUUUCCUCAUGCCCUGCUGUUGGGAGUUGCCCCUUCUCUCUGCUUUAUUCCUCCUCCACUUUCCUUACUCACUCAUUAUCAAAUACACUCAUCUUGUUUAACUAACAUGGUACUUAACCUCCGUUUGAUGUUGGGAGCGUAGGGCUGCUGAAAUUACAACCAGAAGGAUAUGAGAGAGCAUAAGAGAAAUAGGCAGAGAGGAAAAAUAGAAAUUUCAUGUUUAAGUCUCAUAAUGACCAAAACAUAGUUUAAGUUCAAAGUGUGAAUCUAUUUCUGGACAGAGAAAGCCAAACCAACAGUAGAUAUUUUAACUCUGUAAAACUGGAGAUGUGGACAGCGGUUUAUAAGUUGACCAUUUAUUUUAGGAUUUUAGCAUAGUUGUAUAUUAACAGAGUCCACUGACCACUUACCAAUACCAAAUUUCCAUCUAAGCAUCUCUCCUAAAAUCAUGGAAGUUAAAAUUAAAUCCAGUAAGAUGAAUUUUAAUUGGAAUGCAUUUUGUACUUACUAUGGGAUUUUCAGAUUCCCCCAUACCAAAAUUUUUUUCUUUUAAAAAAGGUUCAUGAUGAUUCUGAUGGUACCCUUACAAAUCAGUACCCUUAUAGUUGCCCAGAAGAGACAUGCAUGGAUUACUUUAAGACUUGGAGAUUAUUAAAAGAACACAUUUAAAAAAAAUGUCAUCUGUUACAGUCUUUCUAAGCCAUAGGGUUGGGAUACACAGUUGUGCUUCAUGGAAAAAACAGAACAAUUGUUCACAUGUUUGUGGAAAGAACCUGAGCUCAAUUGGCACACCUUUUUCAUUUAUCCAAAAUUUAUUUUUCCCAAAUGAAAGCAGGGCCUGUAAUCUGCCAUUCAAUAAGGAGCACUUCUAUUAGCCAGGAAUUUAUCAUAAGCCACUUCACAUGCCUCCCCUGUUUUCAGCCCAUGUGUGACUGACUUUGACUUGAAUUCCAUGAACUAGUUUAACUGGUGCUCUUUGGUUACACACAAAAGUACGUUAUAUCCAGCUGAUGCCGUAAGAAGUCUUGCUUGUCUGGCACACCCCGAUCACAGGAAAGAUGGUGGUUUAAGGCCUGAAAUUAAGAGGAACUAGAACUCAGAGGAACCAGGAUUCUCUAGCUUUCUCUUUUCUGUGAUUCUCUGCACACCAGGUUUUUCCUUGAGGUUGAAACUCUGACUACCAUUAUCAUACAUCUUUCUAGUUCCACUGCCAAAGAAAAAUGUACUUCCCCCAGUUGUGAAUAAAAAACAAAAUUUCAGGUAAUCUCAAGGAAAUACUCUCAUUGAUUGGCCUGGGCCAUGUGACUGUUCUCUUGGCCAGAUAGUCAAGGAGCUAGAGUGGCAAAUCCAAUGAGAUCUCCGUGGUUAGCGUGAAGGGAAAAAGAAGUUCUCAACAGGAAAGAGUGAAUGCUAAGCAGAUAAAGCAAUAGCUGUCUAAUUACUUGCGGGAAAGGCUUGCUGUUAAUAAAUGUAAUGUGAUGUAAGCGAUAGCAAUCUGUAUAAUCAAUAUGGCAGCUGUAGAGGAGGCAAGUACCUGAGACUUACGCAUCCAUGAUACAGCCUGUUCAGAAUUUAGACCAAAUUCCCUUCACUCAACAGACGAAGAGAUAGACCCCGGAAAAAUAAAACAUAAUCCACAUACACGAAUGUGGCACAUAAGUGUCUUUGUCCAUUCAAGCUGCUAUAACAAAAAUGCCACAGACUGGUCGCUUAAGCAACAAACUUUUAUUUCUCACUGUUCAGGAGGCUGAGAAGUCCAAAAUCAAGACUCUGGAAGAUUUAGCGCUUUCUGAGGACCUACUUACAUUGUCCUUAAAUGGCAGAAGGGGCAAGGAGCCCUCUGAGGUCUCUUUUAUAAGGUCACUAAUCCCACGCAGGAGGCCUCCACCUUUCUGACCUAAUCAUUUACCAAAGGCUCCACUUCCAAAUACCAUCACUUUGGAGAUUAGGUUUCAACAUAUGAAUUUUGAGAGGGCACAAACAUUCAGUGAAUAGCAAACAGUUAAAAAUAAAUCCUGCUGUAUAGCAAGGGAACUAUAUCUACUCACUUACGAUGGAACAUGAUGGAGGAUAAUGUGAGAAAACGAAUGUAUAUAUAUGUGUGACUGGGUCACUGUGGUAUACAGUAGAUAUCGACAGAACACUGUAAAUCAACUAUAAUGGAAAACAUAAAAAUCAUUUUAAAAAUAAAUAAAUAAAUCACUUGCUUCCAACACACAUUGCAGGGUGAAAUGACAUCCCUCCUAAUAUUCACUUGCAGGAUUUGCAGAGGCCUGGUUUGGAAGUGAAGCCUCAGAAUGCCAGUUGAGAACUUUUUAACCCCAGCAAGAACAGAAAGAAGAACAGGGCUUUUUCAGCCUGUUUGUACCUCACUGUCAAAGUUCAAGCCUCAUGACAUUGUAGUAUAUUUCAUGAAAACUUCUGAGAGGCCAAACAGCCACACCCCUAAACAGAAGCCCUCCUGUUCCACCCACUGUAGCCUUUAAGUCCUCCCAUUCUUUUCCUACUUACUGGAUCAAGCAGUCAACUUGACUCCUUUCCCUUCAAACAUUGCACCACUUGUACAUUUAUAGAGAGACUUAAAAUGACAGUCUUGGGUGUGUAGUAAUCUGAACUACUUCGUGUCCAUUUAUCUCAAAUCAGCUUACUAGAAUGUAACUUUGAAUUUGGAAGAUGUAGUUUUUCUGCUGCUAUAAAAAUGCAAGUUCUUGAGCUAAAUUUCUUCAGGUUUCAGAGAAAAAGAAAAGAAUCACUUCUGGUAAUAGCCAGUCAAAUGCAGGGUUUGGCUCUCCCUGUCUCCUCUCCCUUUCUGCCCAGGGCCAGGAUAAUCUAAUUUCCAAUGUCUGGUUCCCAUGUUUCUCUGGUCCCAGUAGCCUCUGCUUGCUUGUUCAUUGCCCACAUGGACACAAGGUAUCCAUUGCUCUCCACUGUCCUCUACUGUUCUUAUCCAACCAUAAGGCCUCCUCCAUCCCCACAGUCCAGUCCUUUCAGGGGCCCAGAAAUUUACAUGCACCUCCUCUGCACCACUCUGGGGCCAUUGGAUGAGAUGGGUUGUCCUCAGCCCUCCCUGCCUUGGUCAACACUACACUAUCAUGCCAAUACCAGCUGUUCCAGGACCAGACAGAUCUUGAGGCUUAGAAGAGGUGAAAGUGUCCUGAAGCUACCAGAGAGUGAGCACAAAGUCUGCAGCUCUCAGAGUCCCCCAAAUUUAUACUUGCAAACACACCCACACACGGACUCACCCUUGGGAUUUGACCUCACUUCUCAGGAUCCCAGAAACACCUAAUUAAAUAGCUGACAAAUGUAACAGAUAAUUAUAGAUCUUAACAACAGAGAAACUAGGUAAAGGUAUGUAGAGAUUCUCUGUGCUAUCUUUGUAACUUUCUCUAAACCUAAAAUUAUACCAAAAUUUAAAGUUGACAUAGAAAGUAAUGAGAAGGGAGUGGUGGGUGGAGGUAUGGGAGGGACAAGAUUAACUGGGGACUGGUAGUUGUUGAGAUGGGGUGAUGAGACGGGAGGUUACUAUGCUACUCUGCCUAUUUUAGGUUGUAAGUUCUCCAUAAUU